RNAcentral lists this ribosomal RNA (270 nucleotides) under uncultured archaeon. Its description in RNAcentral is "partial 16S ribosomal RNA". It matches the Rfam family "Archaeal small subunit ribosomal RNA", at positions 477 to 747 of the family's 1478-position model. The record is from RNAcentral.
CAGCGCCACAAGUGGCAAUCACGUUUAUUGGGCCUAAAGCAUCCGUAGCCGGCUCUGUAAGUUUUCGGUUAAAUCUGUACGCUCAACGUACAGGCUGCCGGGAAUACUGCAGAGCUAGGGAGUGGGAGAGGUAGACGGUACUCGGUAGGAAGGGGUAAAAUCCUUUGAUCUAUUGAUGACCACCUGUGGCGAAGGCGGUCUACCAGAACACGUCCGACGGUGAGGGAUGAAAGCUGGGGGAGCAAACCGGAUUAGAUACCCGAGUAGUCC